Molecule: ribosomal RNA, 443 nt
Filed under: uncultured bacterium
Lineage: Bacteria
Description: partial 16S ribosomal RNA
Rfam family: Bacterial small subunit ribosomal RNA
Source: RNAcentral
ACUACGGGCGGCAGCAGUGGGGAAUAUUGGGCAAUGGGCGCAAGCCUGACCCAGCAACGCCGCGUGAAGGAAGAAGGCUUUCGGGUUGUAAACUUCUUUUCUCAGGGACGAAGCAAGUGACGGUACCUGAGGAAUAAGCCACGGCUAACUACGUGCCAGCAGCCGCGGUAAUACGUAGGUGGCAAGCGUUAUCCGGAUUUACUGGGUGUAAAGGGCGUGUAGGCGGGAAAGCAAGUCAGAUGUGAAAACCAUGGGCUCAACCUGUGGCCUGCAGUUGAAACUGUUUUUCUUGAGUACUGGAGAGGCAGACGGAAUUCCUAGUGUAGCGGUGAAAUGCGUAGAUAUUAGGAGGAACACCAGUGGCGAAGGCGGUCUGCUGGACAGCAACUGACGCUGAGGCGCGAAAGCGUGGGGAGCAAACAGGAUUAGAUACCCUUGUAGUC